Molecule: long non-coding RNA, 233 nt
Organism: Erigeron canadensis
Lineage: Eukaryota; Viridiplantae; Streptophyta; Magnoliopsida; Asterales; Asteraceae
Exons: 3
Source: RefSeq, a predicted model, not a curated record
GAAGUUUAUAUUAUUAUUAUGCCCAAACAUGAUAAUCUGAUUUGCUUGCUUGUUUGUUUGUUGCUGUUAGUAGGACUUUUGGAAGCAGAUUUUCCAUGAUGGGAUAACUGAGUUGAAGGAACUUCAUUCUGAAUACAUGUGGAAUUUCUCAAAUCUGCAAGAUGCAUUUAACGAGGGCGGUGUGCUACACGCUGCUGCUGUUGCUGCUAGCAAUAUCUACCUCUUCUCUCCUG